GACGAACGCUGGCGGCGUGCUUAACACAGGCAAGUCGAACGGUAAGGCCCUUCGGGGUACACGAGUGGCGAACGGGUGAGUAACACGUGGGUGAUCUGCCCUGCACUUCGGGAUAAGCUUGGGAAACUGGGUCUAAUACCGGAUAGGACCAUGGUCUGCAUGGAUUGUGGUGGAAAGCUUUUGCGGUGUGGGAUGGGCCCGCGGCCUAUCAGCUUGUUGGUGGGGUGAUGGCCUACCAAGGCGACGACGGGUAGCCGGCCUGAGAGGGUGUCCGGCCACACUGGGACUGAGAUACGGCCCAGACUCCUACGGGAGGCAGCAGUGGGGAAUAUUGCACAAUGGGCGCAAGCCUGAUGCAGCGACGCCGCGUGGGGGAUGACGGCCUCGGUUGGUAACCUACUUCUAGCAGGGACGAAGGGUAGGACUGACGGUACCUGUAGAAGAAGGACACCGG
RNAcentral lists this ribosomal RNA (454 nucleotides) under uncultured bacterium. RNAcentral describes it as "bacterial SSU rRNA". It matches the Rfam family "Bacterial small subunit ribosomal RNA", at positions 28 to 496 of the family's 1533-position model. The record is from RNAcentral.